CCCUUAGAUGUCCUGGGCCGCACGCGCGUUACACUGAUGCAUUCAACGAGCUUAUAACCUAGGCCGAGAGGCCUGGGCAAUCUUGUUAACGUGCAUCGUGAUAGGGAUAGAUUAUUGAAAUUAUUAAUCUUGAACGAGGAAUUCCUAGUAAACGCAGAUCAUCAAUCUGCAUUGAUUACGUCCCUGCCCUUUGUACACACCGCCCGUCGCACCUACCGAUUGGAUGGUCCGGUGAAGCCUCGGGAUUGUGGUUCUUGCCGCUUUAUUGUGGCGUGACCGCGAGAACUUGUCUAAACCUUAUCAUCUAGAGGAAGGUGAAGUCGUAACA
Molecule: ribosomal RNA, 328 nt
Filed under: uncultured eukaryote
Lineage: Eukaryota
Description: partial 18S ribosomal RNA
Rfam family: Eukaryotic small subunit ribosomal RNA
Source: RNAcentral